AUUGAGCGCUGGCGGCAUGCCUUACACAUGCAAGUCGAACGGCAGCACGGGUGCUUGCACCUGGUGGCGAGUGGCGAACGGGUGAGUAAUACAUCGGAACGUGCCCAGUCGUGGGGGAUAACGUAGCGAAAGUUGCGCUAAUACCGCAUACGAUCUAAGGAUGAAAGCGGGGGACCGUACGGCCUCGCGCGAUUGGAGCGGGCGAUGUCAGAUUGGGUAGUUGGUGAGGUAAAGGCUCACCAAGCCGACGAUCUGUAGCUGGUCUGAGAGGGCGACCAGCCACACUGGGACUGAGACACGGCCCAGACUCCUACGGGAGGCAGCAGUGGGGAAUUUUGGACAAUGGACGCUAGUCUGAUCCAGCCAUUCCGCGUGCAGGACGAAGGCCUUCGGGUUGUAAACUGCUUUUGUACGGAACGAAAAAGCUCUUACUAAUACUAGGAGUCCAUGACGGUACCGUAAGAAUAAGCACCGGCUAACUACGUGCCAGCCGCCGCGGUAA
This 502-nucleotide ribosomal RNA is filed under the name uncultured bacterium. RNAcentral's name for it is "partial 16S ribosomal RNA". It matches the Rfam family "Bacterial small subunit ribosomal RNA", at positions 30 to 523 of the family's 1533-position model. The record is from RNAcentral.